RNAcentral lists this ribosomal RNA (482 nucleotides) under uncultured bacterium. RNAcentral's name for it is "partial 16S ribosomal RNA". It matches the Rfam family "Bacterial small subunit ribosomal RNA", at positions 30 to 507 of the family's 1533-position model. The record is from RNAcentral.
AUUGAACGCUGGCGGCAUGCUCUACACAUGCAAGUCGAACGGUAACAGGCCGCAAGGUGCUGACGAGUGGCGAACGGGUGAGUAAUGCAUCGGAACGUGCCCAGUCGUGGGGGAUAACUACUCGAAAGAGUAGCUAAUACCGCAUACGAUCUAUGGAUGACAGCGGGGGACCGUAAGGCCUCGCGCGAUUGGAGCGGCCGAUGUCAGAUUAGGUAGUUGGUGGGGUAAAGGCUCACCAAGCCAACGAUCUGUAGCUGGUCUGAGAGGACGACCAGCCACACUGGGACUGAGACACGGCCCAGACUCCUACGGGAGGCAGCAGUGGGGAAUUUUGGACAAUGGGCGCAAGCCUGAUCCAGCAAUGCCGCGUGCAGGAAGAAGGCCUUCGGGUUGUAAACUGCUUUUGUACGGAACGAAACGGCUCUGGUUAAUACCCGGGGCUAAUGACGGUACCGUAAGAAUAAGCACCGGCUAACUACGUG